UCGUCACACUAUCAUUAACUGAAUCCAUAGGUUAAUGAGGCGAACCGGGGGAACUGAAACAUCUAAGUACCCCGAGGAAAAGAAAUCAACCGAGAUUCCCCCAGUAGCGGCGAGCGAACGGGGAGGAGCCCAGAGCCUGAAUCAGCAUGUGUGUUAGUGGAAGCGUCUGGAAAGGCGCGCGAUACAGGGUGACAGCCCCGUACACAAAAGCGCAUGUGCUGUGAGCUCGAUGAGUAGGGCGGGACACGUGGUAUCCUGUCUGAAUAUGGGGGGACCAUCCUCCAAGGCUAAAUACUCCUGACUGACCGAUAGUGAACCAGUACCGUGAGGGAAAGGCGAAAAGAACCCCGGCGAGGGGAGUGAAAAAGAACCUGAAACCGUGUACGUACAAGCAGUGGGAGCACCCUUUGGGGUGUGACUGCGUACCUUUUGUAUAAUGGGUCAGCGACUUAUAUUCUGUAGCAAGGUUAACCGUAUAGGGGAGCCGUAGGGAAACCGAGUCUUAACCGGGCGUUAAGUUGCAGGGUAUAGACCCGAAACCCGGUGAUCUAGCCAUGGGCAGGUUGAAGGUUGGGUAACACUAACUGGAGGACCGAACCGACUAAUGUUGAAAAAUUAGCGGAUGACCUGUGGCUGGGGGUGAAAGGCCAAUCAAACCGGGAGA
Molecule: ribosomal RNA, 664 nt
Filed under: Salmonella enterica subsp. enterica serovar Newport
Lineage: Bacteria; Pseudomonadati; Pseudomonadota; Gammaproteobacteria; Enterobacterales; Enterobacteriaceae
Description: bacterial LSU rRNA
Rfam family: Bacterial large subunit ribosomal RNA
Source: RNAcentral